GGCUGAGAAGCGAACUAUCGCAUUUAGUUUCGACCUAAACUUUGGUAACAUCCUACCCUCAGCUU
Molecule: transfer RNA, 65 nt
Filed under: Palaemon modestus
Lineage: Eukaryota; Metazoa; Arthropoda; Malacostraca; Decapoda; Palaemonidae
Description: tRNA-Arg
Source: RNAcentral